Molecule: ribosomal RNA, 216 nt
Filed under: Rhizophagus irregularis
Lineage: Eukaryota; Fungi; Glomeromycota; Glomeromycetes; Glomerales; Glomeraceae
Also listed under: 3 other names
Description: partial 18S ribosomal RNA
Rfam family: Eukaryotic small subunit ribosomal RNA (bases 28-216)
Source: RNAcentral
GGGUUAGUAGGUUGGUCAUGCCUCCGGUAUGUACUGAUCUCACUGAUUCCUCCUUCCUUAUGAACCGUAAUGCCAUUAAUUUGGUGUUGCGGGGAAUUUGGACUGUUACUUUGAAAAAAUUAGAGUGUUUAAAGCAGGCUAACGCUUGAAUACAUUAGCAUGGAAUAAUGAAAUAGGACGUUCGAUCUUAUUUUGUUGGUUUCUAGGAUUGACGUA